GACGAACGCUGGCGGCGUGCUUAACACAUGCAAGUCGAACGGAAAGGCCCUGCUUUUGUGGGGUGCUCGAGUGGCGAACGGGUGAGUAACACGUGAGUAUCCUGCCCUUGACUUUGGGAUAACUUCAGGAAACUGGGGCUACUACCGGAUAGCAGCUCCUGCUGCAUGGUGGGGGUUGGAACGUUUGGGCGGGUGGGGAUGGACUCGCGGCUAACCAGCUUGUUGGUGGGGGAUUGGCUUACCCAGGCUUGGAUGGGUAGCCGGCCUGGGAGGGUGACCGGCCACAUUGGGCCUGAGAUAGGGCCCAGACUCCAACGGGAGGCAGCGGGGGGAAAUAUGGCACAAUGGGCGGAAGCCUGUGGCAGCAACCCCCGGUGCGGAAUGACGGCCUUCGGGUUGUAAACCGCUUUAGCCUGUGACGAAGCUGUAGUGACGGUAAUGGGUGAAGAAGCACCGGCUAACUACGUG
This 468-nucleotide ribosomal RNA is filed under the name uncultured bacterium. RNAcentral's name for it is "partial 16S ribosomal RNA". It matches the Rfam family "Bacterial small subunit ribosomal RNA", at positions 28 to 507 of the family's 1533-position model. The record is from RNAcentral.